This 915-nucleotide long non-coding RNA is filed under the name Olea europaea subsp. europaea. Lineage: Eukaryota; Viridiplantae; Streptophyta; Magnoliopsida; Lamiales; Oleaceae. The record is from RNAcentral.
CGCAAACAUUAAAACAAUACAAAUAGACAUAUUACUGGAAUUACAACACAAGAGUCAAGAUAAAAAUAUAGAUCUCGAAUCAAAACUAAGAAUUAAAUAAUUUUGUCAUCCAUCCAAUUCAUUAAAUUAUUUAGCCUAACAUAAUAUUGGGAUUAAACAAAGAAAAGUGGAAGGACAUCUCCGAGAAAUUGCUGAAACGCGAUUAAUUUCCAAAUUAUUUGCACAAUUGAGGAAUAACUGCACAAAAAUUCAGCCAACUUUUCUAUGUUUUCUGCUUCAAUUCCAGCGUGUGUUUGUUGUGUAUAUAUAUAUAUAUAAAAUUCAGCCGCCUUGUGUAAUGUAUGAUCAAUCCCCAUGGCAGCCUUUUUCACUCCAAAUACAGCCGUUUUCUGUGAGUUUUCUUCUUUUUUAUUCUUCAAAAUCAGCCCCUUUUUCCUUGCCUUCUUUCCUAGCAGCUUUGCCUUUUUUUUUUAAUCUAUUUGAAACCAAUUCCCAAAGUAGGCUCCCACUUUCUGCGCAUAAAAACAUAUAUAGCAGCCAACUACCUUGUUUUGCUCCAAAAAGAAUUCAAUUGCUCAUGAAAUUAGCUUCCUGUGUAUUUAUAUAAUUCUCCACCCAGUUGCUAUGUUUGAUUCCCCAACGAACUCUAUCUUUUGCCUCCUUUAUGUGUCCUUGCAGCCGCCGUUUUCUGUAAGUUAAUCUCCCCAGUUUUCGUCUCUUUUUGUAUGUAGAAGAAAAGAAACUCCUUCAGCUCCUUCAAAGUGCUGCCCAAUUAUUUUCCCUAUGUUUCCCCAAGCUGCUUUCUUUUGUUGACUCAUAAAAGAAGACAAUUUUUUUCUGGGUUAUUUUCCAACUUUGUUUCCCCGCAGCUUGGCAGCCGUCCCCCUUUCUAUAUAAUUCCCAUAUGUAUUCUCU